RNAcentral lists this ribosomal RNA (444 nucleotides) under uncultured prokaryote. RNAcentral describes it as "bacterial SSU rRNA". It matches the Rfam family "Bacterial small subunit ribosomal RNA", at positions 355 to 796 of the family's 1533-position model. The record is from RNAcentral.
UGAGGAAUCUUGCGCAAUGGGGGCAACCCUGACGCAGCCACGCCGCGUGCCGGAAGACGGCCCUAUGGGUUGUAAACGGCUUUUGAUGGGGAAGAACCUUCGGGUUUCGACCUGAACUGACGGUACCUAUCGAAUAAGCACCGGCUAACUCCGUGCCAGCAGCCGCGGUAAUACGGAGGGUGCAAGCGUUGUCCGGAAUCAUUGGGUGUAAAGGGUGCGUAGGCGGAAGCCUAAGUCGGGGGUGAAAUCUUACCGCUCAACGGUAAAAUGGCCUUCGAUACUGGGUUUCUUGAGUCCGGAAGAGGCUGGUGGAAUUCGUGGUGUAGCGGUGAAAUGCAUAGAUAUCACGAAGAACACCGGUGGCGAAGGCGGCCAGCUGGUCCGGCACUGACGCUGAGGCACGAGAGCGUGGGGAGCGAACAGGAUUAGAUACCCCCGUAGUCC